GCCCAUCCACGCUACGGCGCCUUAACCCCGUCCCUGGUGACGGGCAUGGCCUGAUGCGGAUCUUGGCCCUCCGAGCCAUGGCGGCGCGGCGGGCCGAAGUGUGCGGCCGUCGGAUGGAGCCGGUAGCGGCGAGUGGUGGGUUGCUGCGCGCGCCGCUCCGUGCCCGUCCGGCACAGGGCCUUCUCUGACCCCCGAACGAGGAGCCGGCUGUCGCAGCGUGCGGCUGAGCGGCAUCUCUGGACC
RNAcentral lists this unclassified non-coding RNA (243 nucleotides) under Cladium jamaicense subsp. chinense. The record is from RNAcentral. Lineage: Eukaryota; Viridiplantae; Streptophyta; Magnoliopsida; Poales; Cyperaceae.